This 302-nucleotide long non-coding RNA is filed under the name Durio zibethinus. RNAcentral's name for it is "long non-coding RNA (DZIB_LNC000309)". The record is from RNAcentral. Lineage: Eukaryota; Viridiplantae; Streptophyta; Magnoliopsida; Malvales; Malvaceae.
AUAUUUUUUUUCAUUCAACAUUUGCCAGAUUUUCUUUCCAUUUAUAACAAUUCCAUCCGCAGGAGUCUCCUGGUUUGGAAUGUUUGCCUUGCUUUGAUAAUCUAUCCUGAAAAAAAGAAUUGAAAAACAUGGGGUGAAGGGAUCUUCCGCUAGAAAAUUAACUAUUUGAACUCUUACAGGAGUUGAAAUGCCAUUGAUGCUCUGGAAAAAUGAUCGUGAAAUUCUGAUGGAAGGAAUUGAUGGACAGGCAGUAUUCUACAACUUCAUCACAAAAGAAAUCAAGAAUCUUCAAAUUUAUGGGG